UACGUAGGGUGCGAGCGUUAAUCGGAAUUACUGGGCGUAAAGCGUGCGCAGGUGGUUUUGUAAGUCAGAUGUGAAAUCCCCGGGCUUAACCUGGGAACUGCAUUUGAGACUGCAAGGCUAGAGUGUAGCAGAGGGGGGUGGAAUUCCACGUGUAGCAGUGAAAUGCGUAGAGAUGUGGAGGAACACCGAUGGCGAAGGCAGCCCCCUGGGCUACUACUGACACUCAUGCACGAAAGCGUGGGGAGCAAACAGG
RNAcentral lists this ribosomal RNA (253 nucleotides) under uncultured bacterium. RNAcentral's name for it is "partial 16S ribosomal RNA". It matches the Rfam family "Bacterial small subunit ribosomal RNA", at positions 524 to 776 of the family's 1533-position model. The record is from RNAcentral.